AGAGUUUGAUCCUGGCUCAGGAUGAACGCUAGCGGCAGGCUUAAUACAUGCAAGUCGUGGGGCAGCACAGGUAGCAAUACUGGGUGGCGACCGGCAAACGGGUGCGGAACACGUACGCAACCUUCCUUUAACUGGAGAAUAGCCCGGGGAAACCCGGAUUAAUACUCCGUAACAUUAUGAAGUGGCAUCACUUUAUAAUUAUAGCUCCGGCGGUUGAAGAUGGGCGUGCGUCUGAUUAGGUAGUUGGCGGGGUAACGGCCCACCAAGCCUACGAUCAGUAACUGGUGUGAGAGCACGACCAGUCACACGGGCACUGAGACACGGGCCCGACUCCUACGGGAGGCAGCAGUAAGGAAUAUUGGUCAAUGGACGCAAGUCUGAACCAGCCAUGCCGCGUGGAGGAUGAAGGUCCUCUGGAUUGUAAACUUCUUUUAUUUGGGAAGAAACCCCCGAUUUCUAUUGGGGUAGACGUACCAGAUGAAUAAG
RNAcentral lists this ribosomal RNA (486 nucleotides) under uncultured soil bacterium. RNAcentral's name for it is "bacterial SSU rRNA". It matches the Rfam family "Bacterial small subunit ribosomal RNA", at positions 8 to 490 of the family's 1533-position model. The record is from RNAcentral.